This 67-nucleotide transfer RNA is filed under the name uncultured Eubacterium sp. It matches the Rfam family "tRNA". From Rfam's summary of the family: Transfer RNA (tRNA) molecules are approximately 80 nucleotides in length. Their secondary structure includes four short double-helical elements and three loops (D, anti-codon, and T loops). Lineage: Bacteria; Bacillati; Bacillota; Clostridia; Eubacteriales; Eubacteriaceae. The record is from RNAcentral.
UGUUAUAGCUCAGGUGGUAGAGCGUCGCCUUGGUAAGGCGGAGGUCACGGGUUCAAAUCCCGUUAAC